Molecule: long non-coding RNA, 2810 nt
Organism: Leucoraja erinaceus (little skate)
Lineage: Eukaryota; Metazoa; Chordata; Chondrichthyes; Rajiformes; Rajidae
Exons: 3
Source: RefSeq, a predicted model, not a curated record
CAUCACAGCCCCUAUCUGCCCCGGAAGUGAUAACGCACCCGGAAUCACCAUAGUUACUGGGCCUCGUAAACCAGGCAAACUGGAGGAACAGCGCCUCAUAUUUCGCUUGGGCAGCAGACAACCCAGCGCUCUCGCUGCUCGAUGAUGAGAGCAGAUUUCAUCUUUACAAAAUGAGUGUAAUCCUGGAGCUCAUCUUCCGACAAAUGCUUGACCAGAAUAUCAUGGACGACUCGCUCCCUGUGAUCCACAUGUUCUUUCAGCUCUUUAGCCUCUUCAAGUUGUGCUAUGCUGCCUGAUCUGCAGAACCUUUCCAGCAAUUUUGGUUUCUAAUGAGCAAAUCAUGUCUGAUGCAUCUGAUGGCAAUUUUUUCAUGAGGAAAGGUAAAAUAAAUGUAAAAUGAAAGGUAAAAGAAAGCAGUCAUGGCAAAUGAUUGAUUUUAAGACCAGACCAUGGUAAACAUUGAUGAUCAGCAAGGAUCAAUGUUCGUACUGCCUUUAUUGAUAUAUACUUCAAUGUAGGUGAGGAAGAUAGAAGUUAACUGCAAGAGGGCACAGAGCAAAAACAGAGGAAUUUUAUUGAAUGUUUAUAUUAUUAAAAAUGGACAGGCCACAACACUUCAAUUCUGGUCAACAAAUUUUGGGACAGGUUGAAGGGCAUCACAAGGUUGGAGGAAAUAUUCCAUGGAUAAGGUAUUUCAGAUACCAAGUUAGACGAGAGACACUUUGUUUGUUUGUUGGAAGGUUGAAGAAAGACAGCUUGAUGGAUGUGUACAACAUCCUGAUGAGUUUUGAUAAGGUGAAUGUAGAGAAACUAUUCCUUUGUGAUGGUUCAUGGACCAGUGGACACGAAUGCAAAGAUAGAAUAAGGAAACAAAGAAAUACUUAAAUAUGCAGACUGAGCGAAUUAAAUGGAAAAUUAUUUAUAGAGAUACAGAGAAGAUUUGGGGGCAUGGGAUGGAUUAAAUUGUUCCGAAGUAGCUUGCCUGGAUCUGAGGGGAAAAAUGACCACAUUCUGUGUCAGAGUUCCAUGAUUUGAUUAUGAUGAUGGGAUCUUUGACAACCACCCAAGCCAACUGAUGAUGCCUGGGUUUAUUAUCUCAUCAAAGAUGAGUGCAGCCUCUGUUAGUGUAAACUUCUAAAAGGAGUGAGGGGGAGAAACAGGAAACACACCCGAAAUGUUGUGUACGGUUUUGCCAUUUAAAGAGAAAUCCAGUAGACUAAGCAGGGCUCAUAAUUAACGGUUUCCCGGGUGCCAAUUGCCACCUAAAGUCCUGCCAGGCAACCUAAAAGCCGUGCCAUUUUGCCUGGCUUGGCAAGCACCAGGGACACCUGCCAUUCAACUCUGAGCAGGGCCCCCCUCUCUAUCUCUCUUGUCUCCGCCCGCCAUCCGUGUCUGGGCCUCCGGGCUCCGCUCUAUGAACUUUAGCCAGGUCUCCGCUCUCCGGCUGCUCCUCAUCCGCCUGCACGGCCGGCCGCCUUGCACAUGCGCACUGCCAUGGUCUGCACAUCCUCCCCCUGCACAUGCGCACAACCACGGCCAGCACAUAAUUGGCCGCCCCGCGCAUGCGCACUGCCACAGCAGCUGGUUGUUGCCGGGCACUUUCUCCCUCCCUUUGCAUUGUGGGAGAUCUGGCCCCUAUUGCUGUCUGGUCGCCACCUCGCCGCGACCACUGAAAACCAACGCAGAAACACUCCCUGGAGCUGGAGUAACUCCUGCUUCAGGGUGCAAGAGUUACUCCAAAAAUAUUCCAAAUGGAAUUUAAACUGGAAGUGGUGAAGGAUCCACCACCAAACUCCAAACAAUAACAGCCUAUUGAACUGUAUCUGUUUAUUUAUUGUGCAUAUAUAUGGUCUAUGGUAUAUAGACACACUGAACUUUUAUCUCCUGUUCUGUAUUAUGUUUACAUAUUCUGUUGUUCUAGAAUUUCAUUGUCCUAUCUGGGACACAUACAAUAAAACUCUUGACUUGGACUUAAGCAAAAAGGGUUCUUGGGGAAAAAAUGAGCUACCUUAAAUUUAGUUGCAUCUGGUUGGGUAACUAUGGUAGGGUGAAGACUAUUCCAUGCUUUAAUUGUGCGGGGGAACUCCAUGGAGCAGCCAGCAUCUCUGGAUAGAAGAAAUUGGAUGACGUUUUGGGUAGAGGCCCUUCUUUAGACUCCCUCUGGUUUUAGUGUUUUUAGUUUAAUUUAAAGAUACAGUGUGGAAACAGGCCCUUCGGCCCACCGAGUCCACGCCGACCACCGACCACCCGCACACUAGUUCUAUCCCACACAUUAGCAACAUAAAUAUUACGUUUUGGGUUGGGUCUGAAAAAGGUUCCUGCACAUCUUUGGAAUAUGGAAGGAAACAAGAGCACCCGGAGAAAACCCACGUGAUCAAAGGGAAAAGAAGCAAAAUCCAUACAGACAGCACCAAUAUUCAGGAUCAAUUCCGGGUCUCUAGCACUUUUACGCAGCAACUUUAUGGCCAAUAGUCUUGAACUGAAUUAAACAUACAGUAGCUGUAAAGGGGGACAUAGUGUCACUUAGAGAUUUAAGUCUGAAAAUUGAUAGUUUCUUUUUUUUAGUAACCAAAGUUAUCAACGUAUAAUUUUUUGUAUGUUGGAAAACAAAAUAUUGUGCCAUAGCUGGUAGACGUGCUGCCUCACACACCAGAGAUCUGUGUUCGAUCCUGUCCUCAGGCACCCUCUGUGUUGAAUUUGCACACUCUCCCUGCAAGCAUAUGGGGUCCUCCCACAUCCCAAAGACCCAUUGGCUUUGUAGGUUAACUUGUAUCUGUAAAAUUGCCCCUAAUGUAGGAAGUGGGUGAGGA